Molecule: transfer RNA, 74 nt
Filed under: Polyangiaceae bacterium
Lineage: Bacteria; Pseudomonadati; Myxococcota; Polyangiales; Polyangiaceae
Also listed under: 1 other name
Description: tRNA-Gln
Rfam family: tRNA
About the family: Transfer RNA (tRNA) molecules are approximately 80 nucleotides in length. Their secondary structure includes four short double-helical elements and three loops (D, anti-codon, and T loops).
Source: RNAcentral
UCCGACGUCGUCCAAGGGCAGGACGGAGGACUUUGAAUCCUCUAAUCGUGGUUCGAAUCCACGCGUCGGAACCA